UACGGGGGGGGCAAGCGUUGUUCGGAAUUACUGGGCGUAAAGGGCUCGUAGGCGGCCAACUAAGUCCGACGUGAAAUCCCCAGGCUUAACCUGGGAACUGCGUCGGAUACUGGUUGGCUUGAAUCCGGGAGAGGGAUGUGGAAUUCCAGGUGUAGCGGUGAAAUGCGUAGAUAUCUGGAGGAACACCGGUGGCGAAGGCGACAUCCUGGACCGGUAUUGACGCUGAGGCGCGAAAGCCAGGGGAGCAAACGGG
Molecule: ribosomal RNA, 253 nt
Filed under: uncultured bacterium
Lineage: Bacteria
Description: partial 16S ribosomal RNA
Rfam family: Bacterial small subunit ribosomal RNA
Source: RNAcentral